Molecule: long non-coding RNA, 1577 nt
Filed under: Sorghum bicolor (sorghum)
Lineage: Eukaryota; Viridiplantae; Streptophyta; Magnoliopsida; Poales; Poaceae
Description: long non-coding RNA (SBIC_LNC000775)
Source: RNAcentral
CCAAAUAUGUGAAAGGUCAAAGUAUAUGUCAAAGCAAAAUUAGAGGUGGCUCACAAUUUUGGCAAGGGAUUAUGCACGCCAGGGAAUGGUUUGAGAGAGGAACAAGAUGGAUGGUGCAAUGGAAGAAGAAUUCGGUUUUGGCAAGAUGUGUGGCUAGACAACUGCCCUUUAAAGAUCAGGUUCCCGAGACUAUACAAGAUCACGAGGUAGCAAACCUGGUCAGUAGCAGAGAUGUUUGUGGUAGAUUGGGAGCUUGACUGCAGAAGAAAUUUGGGUCAGGAGGAAUGCUCUGAUUUAAUUGAUUUGCAGGAAGCAUUAGAGGUGAUAUAGAUUACAAGGAUGAUAGCUUAAUCUGGGCUCUAGAAUCUUGAGGCAGAUUUUCAAGCAAGUCUCCGUAUAGACUUAUGGUGAAUCCUAGAGAAGUGGAUGUAAGAAUGAGAUAUCUUUGGGAAAUUAAGCUUUCGCUGAAGAUCAAAGUUUUCCUUUGGAUGUUAUGGCAUGACAGGGUGCAGAUUGGAGAAUAACUAAAGAAGAGGAAAAGCAAACACUCGAGCUUUGCAAAUACUAUGGGCGACUAAAAACCAGGGAUCACCUCUUCUUUAACUGUAGUAUAACCUAGAUUAUUUGGGUUUGGGUGCGGGUUAGCCUAAGAUGGAAUAGGAGGCCUACCUCGAUGACUAACUUCCAAGAUAUGCUUAAUGCUGGAGAGAUUGAGAGAUCUAAGAUCGUUAACUUCUUUGUGAUAGCUAGUGUUCGUGGGCUGUGUGGAAGUCUAGGAAUGACUAGGUGUUUAACAACAAACUUAUCAAAACUCCCAAAGCUCUUGCUUACAAAGUCUUGGCUCUGUUGAAACCAAUGUUUUUAAGGAGUCGCUUUGGCGUCGCUUUAGCGUCGCCUAAUCGCCAAGGCGCUCUAGGCAAGACGUUUUGGUAGACGACUCACCUCAGAUUGGUAUGGUGUCCACCUUACGAGCAUGGCGUCCGGAAAACGUCGAUUUGGCGUCCGAUUCGUCCCAGAUCGAGGAAGGCGGGCGCCAUACGGGCGUGCUCUGUGCGGGGAGGCAGGAAACGUGGGACAUCGCGGGAGAAAGGAUGGGGAAAAGAGCAAACGCGCGGGAAAGGCAGUCGUGCGCGCAGAGACAGAGGGGGGGGGGGUGCGUGGGAGAAUUAGGCGCGCUGGAGAGAAGAACGCGGGAGAAAUCAGAGCAGACAGCAGAGAGAGGAGCGUUCAGGGAAGACAGACCUACCUGCUCGCUCGCGUUUUGCCCGCGCCACAGGGAGAAGCUGCUGCCGUCGAGUCUCUGCCUGAAGCAAAGGCUCCGCCUUCCGCUCCCCUCUUCCCAAUCCGCGCGAGGAGCUGCCGUCGGCGGGUAGCUGUUUCCCGGCCUGCCUCCUCUGGUCAUUCUCCUUCCGCGCGGGGAGCAGCCGCCGGCGGGUUGCUGUUUCCCUGCCACCUCUCUGGUCCUCCAUCGCCUCCUCCAGUCUUCCCUCGAGCAGGACACCGAGCUGCCUCCUCCAGUGUUGCCUCGAGCAGGACACAGAGCCGCCUCCUCCAGUCUUCCCUCGAGCAGGACACAG